RNAcentral lists this ribosomal RNA (492 nucleotides) under uncultured bacterium. RNAcentral describes it as "partial 16S ribosomal RNA". It matches the Rfam family "Bacterial small subunit ribosomal RNA", at positions 29 to 507 of the family's 1533-position model. The record is from RNAcentral.
AGUGAACGCUGGCGGUAGGCCUAACACAUGCAAGUCGAACGGCAGCACAGUAAGAGCUUGCUCUUACGGGUGGCGAGUGGCGGACGGGUGAGGAAUACAUCGGAAUCUACUUUUUCGUGGGGGAUAACGUAGGGAAACUUACGCUAAUACCGCAUACGACCUACGGGUGAAAGCAGGGGAUCUUCGGACCUUGCGCGAUUGAAUGAGCCGAUGUCGGAUUAGCUAGUUGGCGGGGUAAAGGCCCACCAAGGCGACGAUCCGUAGCUGGUCUGAGGGGAUGAUCAGCCACACUGGAACUGAGACACGGUCCAGACUCCUACGGGAGGCAGCAGUGGGGAAUAUUGGACAAUGGGCGCAAGCCUGAUCCAGCCAUACUGCGUGGGUGAAGAAGGCCUUCGGGUUGUAAAGCCCUUUUGUUGGGAAAGAAAAGCAGCAGGUUAAUACCCCGCUGUUCUGACGGUACCCAAAGAAUAAGCACCGGCUAACUUCGUG